Long non-coding RNA from Helianthus annuus (common sunflower), 1204 nucleotides. RefSeq lists it as uncharacterized. Lineage: Eukaryota; Viridiplantae; Streptophyta; Magnoliopsida; Asterales; Asteraceae. The record is from RefSeq and is a predicted model, not a curated record. The transcript has 3 exons.
GGCUGUGACACUGAUGAUUGCUGGAUGAAUUCGACCAUCUCUUACCUGUCGGUGGACAAGCAAUUAUUCACCGUGAUUGUGGACGAUAUGUUGCGAAACCCACCAGAUUCAGACAUAGAUUUAAUUUUUGAUGUGGUUCAAAAGAAGGCUCUGUUCCUCAAAUUGAAGGAACAUCUGGUGCCAAAGAUGCUGAACCAGUCUCUAUACUUAAAGCCCGAGACUCUGGGAAACUGCCACAACUAACUUGGGUUGAAGAUCGAAGAGGCUUGGAUGAUAUAUCAGGUCCAGAAUUUAGUGGGCUUGGUCAUAUGGUCAAGCUUCGAAAGCUGACGGGUCACCAUCUACGUCAAACGGGCUGGACACGAAUAUCGUCAUAUAUAGUUCCUGAUGUAGAUGACGAAGCUGCUCCAAAUGAUAUCCCUCGGGAUGAAGCAGAAAAUUCGGCUCAACAUGGGCCCAAUGUGGAAGUGGCAGCUGUUAACUCCCAGGCUGGGAUGUCAAGAAAGAGGCCAGCUAGUACUAUGGAGGCCCAUGAUUCUGAUAGUACAUUUGUACGUAUCACACCCUUCUGCCCACAGGGAAGGGCCUGGUAACUUGGAUCCGAACUAUGAAUAUUGUGUGGUGUUCCGGAAGCUUGAGCGUGAAGGGCACAUCACGAAAGAAUUUAGACGGAAACUGUUCACGUGGUUUAGUCUGAGUUCAACUGAGCGUGAACGUAGAGCGGUUAACACUUUCAUCCGAACACUCGCCCUGAUAGCUUAGGUGAACAAUUGUUUGACGCAUUUGGCGAUAUGGUGUGGUCAUGAACCGAUGUGUGGCUGGACGAAAAUAAUAACAAUAUGCAACUACGGGUGGUUGUGGACCUGACAAUGCGGUUUGUUGACGUCGUUUUUGGACUCCCAUGGAUGGUGUUCUUCAAGAAUCGGAAAUUUUUAGUUUGGCACAGAACGGUGAGAAGCUUGUGAUGAUUGAUUAAGAUGUGAAGAUUAGUUUUAAUGACAGUUCAGAGAGUUGGUUGUGAUGAAUCAUUAAGAUAUGAAGUUUUCCGUAAGAUACACCUUUUAUAAUUUAUGUCUUGUAAUAGAUUCCUAUAAUAGAUUUAUUGUAUAAAUAGUUAUUCAAGGGUUUAACAUGUGCUUCGCGUGUAGAAUGCUUGUAUUUUUUUGACAAGUGAUAAUAAAGAAAGAAGUAAGAGUGAUAAAAA